UACGAAGGUCCCAAGCGUUAUCCGGAUUUAUUGGGUUUAAAGGGUGCGUAGGCGGGUUAUUAAGUCAGUGGUGAAAGCUCCAGUGCCUAACAUGGAAUUGCCAUUGAUACUGAUGAUCUUGAGUACAUUUGAAGUGGGCGGAAUGUGUCAUGUAAGUGGUGAAAUACUUAGAUAUGACACAGAACACCGAUUGCGUAGGCAGCUCACUAAACUGUAACUGACGCUGAGGCACGGAAAAGCGUGGGGAGCAAACAGG
This 256-nucleotide ribosomal RNA is filed under the name uncultured bacterium. RNAcentral's name for it is "partial 16S ribosomal RNA". It matches the Rfam family "Bacterial small subunit ribosomal RNA", at positions 524 to 776 of the family's 1533-position model. The record is from RNAcentral.